UCUGGUGACCAUAGCGAGGUGGUCCCACUCCUUCCCAUCCCGAACAGGACAGUGAAACGCCUCAGCGCCGAUGAUAGUGCGGAUAGCCCGUGUGAAAGUAGGUCAUUGCCAGAC
This 114-nucleotide ribosomal RNA is filed under the name Chitinibacter bivalviorum. The record is from RNAcentral. Lineage: Bacteria; Pseudomonadati; Pseudomonadota; Betaproteobacteria; Neisseriales; Chitinibacteraceae.